Dama dama (fallow deer) is the source of this 5190-nucleotide long non-coding RNA. RefSeq lists it as uncharacterized. Lineage: Eukaryota; Metazoa; Chordata; Mammalia; Artiodactyla; Cervidae. The transcript has 3 exons. The record is from RefSeq and is a predicted model, not a curated record.
UUUCUGCUUUGAGAUAAACAGGCCAGAUUCUGAUCCUUAUAAAAGUUUGGGAGGGGGCAUGUGAUUUUAUUAAGGUAAUCAGCUUUUCUGUGAUCUCUGUACACAGUUAAUUAUGUUAAUUUUAAAGCUUUUGCAGUAGCCUGAGAAUUCUGGAGUAUAUGACAUUUUACUUUAAGGAUGAAGAUAGUGGAAUAUCUCCAUGAAAGGAUCCAAAAUGCAGUGUGAAAAUUUUGUUAUGCUGAACUAUAGCUAAAGGCUGUGGACAGACUUGUCUUUAUUCUAGAGCAGGCAGCAUUAGGCAGCAGUUUCAUUAAAUUUUAGAGCUAAAAUAGGGUUAGGGAUUUGCUUUUCUCAACUACCUUUCCCUAGCCAUCCCUAUCACAACUUCUUUUACUACUGCCCACUUUCUAAAUUGUAAAGCUUGAUAUAGUGAUCUACCAAACAGUGUAUAGCUGGAAUAACCCUAAAUAGGGACCUAAAGCCAGUUCUAAGCAUGCACUUUUGUCUCCUUGGUUCAUUAAAUCACGUGACCUCUCCAGGUCUUGGGCCUCUGGUACAAUGUGGAAAUAGAGCUUGAUUAUCUCUAAGAUGCUUUAAGACCAAGACCAUGGCUCUAUAAGUUCAACCUUAUGCAUUCUUUUCUCUGGGAGAUUCCUGGCAUCCAUUUGCAUGACUUCUUCCAAGAAGAGAAGACCCAGAUGAAUCAAAAGGAUUGAUAUGAUGUACUCCAAUUAAAUGAACAAAAGUUGUUUCUUAAACUUUUUGAUCCUUAGCUUUGGUUUAAGGUCCUUAGCUUCCCUGGUAGCUCAGCUGGUAAAGAAUCCACCUAUAAUGGUUUGAUUCUCGGGUUGGGAAGAUCCCCUGGAGAAGGGAUAAACUACUUACUCCAAUAUUCAUGAGCUUCCCUGGUGGCUCAGGUGGUAAAGAAUCUGCCUGCACUGCGGGAAACCUGGGUUUGAUCCCUGGGUUGGGAAGAUCCUCUGGAGGAGGGCAUGGCAACCCACUCCAGUAUUCUUGCUGGAGAAUCCCCAUGGACAGAGGAGCCUGGCAGGCUACAGUCCAUGGGGUGGCAAAGAGUCAGAUACGACUGAGCGAAUAAGCAUAUCACAAGGUCUUUAGAAAAUAUAAGAGGGAAAUCAAACACAACUGUUGAAACACAGCACGAGAACCUAAAAGGUCUUAGAAGAAAUGCUGAGGAGGAGAGGAAGAUUGGGUUAAAGGGAGAAUUGAAGAGAGAAAAGAAUGAACUGAGAAAGUGAACAUUUCAUGGUUUAAAGUUGUUAUGUAAAUUGAACAUCAACUUCUUGUUUAAUCCAGUAAAUGUGUUUAUGUGCCAGGCCUAUCAUCCACUUAAUCACUGAACAAAUAUUUAUUGAGCACCUGCUAUGCUUCUGAUGGAGAAGGCAAUGGCACCCCACUCCAGUACUCUUGCCUGGAAAAUCCCAUGGACGGAGUAGCCUGGUAGGCUGCAGUCCAUGGGGUCGCUAAGAGUUGGACACGACUGAGCAACUUCACUUUCAUGCAUUGGAGAAGGACAUGGCAACCCACUCCAGUAUUCUUGCCUGGAGAAUCCCAGGGACGGGGGAGCCUAGUGGGCUGCUGUCUAUGGGGUCGCACAGAGUCAGACACGACUGAAGUGACUUUUUUUUUUUUUUAAUGCUUCUGAUACUCUACAGGCCCUAAGGAUACAUAGAAAGCAAAACCAGAUGUGCCUCCUUGAAGCUCAACAGUCUAGAAUGUCUCUUUUAGGUAUUGUCUGAUCCUCCCAAGAAGCAUCCAGGUGAUAAGAGAGGAAAGAACAAAGGUGUAUCAAACCUCUAUGACCGAAGGUAGAAUAUAAUAAGUACUAUAAAACAUACAAAAAGUAAUAUGAUGGUAUUAAUAUUAGGGAGAGAAACUUCUUCCAAUUAAUACUUGGGAGAAUUUCAUGGUGGUAAUCUUUGAACUGGAUCCUGAAGGCUGCAUAUAAUUUUGAUAUGUUAGAAAGAGAAUGGGGAGAGGAAGGCAUUUCAAUAGGGGGAACCAUUGUGGGCAAAGGCUGAGAUCAGAAAGUACUCAGUGAAAGGUAAAAAUUUUAGGUGUCCAAAACACUGGCUAUGGGGGCUUCCCUGGUGGUCUAGUGUUUAAGACUUUGUGUUCCCACUGCAGGGGGCACAGGUUUGAUCUCUGGUGUGGGAAUUUAAACCCCACAUGCUACAUGGUGCAGCCAAAAAAAAAAAAAAAAAGAAUAACAACAAAACAAACAAACAAACAAAAACUGGGGACAAAUUCUACCUCAAUAAAAUUGUUUAAAAAAAAAUAAAACACUGCAUAUGUACAGAUUGAAUGAAGAAAAGUAAUUCCUAGAUUCAAAUAAUCAAACUUUUCUUGAAAGAAUAAACAGAUGUCUAUGAUAUGUGAAUGUCUGAUCCUACUUAAUGCAAACAGUAUUUUCAUGGGCUAGUCUGAACAGCACUCAGUAAAAUACUUUUCACCUCACUGAAGUAAGUGAGGUAAAUAAACAUGACAUGCAGCCAGCUGAAUGAAUAUUCAACUCAUUGCAUUUCUCUGUGGGUCAUGAGUGAUUCUAAUAUUGAUCCUCUGGACUCACAUGCUUUCUGAUGGCCUGUAAGAAGCAGUGGUCAUAGGAGGGAUCCUUUGGGGACAUUAAGCAUAGAAGAAUCUCUUCAAUCAAACACAUCAAGCCUUUAAAAAUACAGCUUCUAUCUCUUUCUUCCAUCAUGUCAGGGACAUACAGGUACAGUGCAGAGCCAGGUUGAAGGAUAUCAUUUUUUCUAAUAGUCUCUCUCUUCUUUGGAACAAAUUGGUAAAAUUUUCUUUCACAGAGUCAAAGGAUUACAGUUGCUAUUUAUCUUGUCCAGUAAGGCAUCCACUCUUGCCACUUCUAGCCUCUCAAAUAUUGUCCUAAGUCUUGGAAAAUACUCAUACAGCCUCCCAAAGACCAUAGAACCCAGUAGGAAGACCUAUUUAUAGCUCCAAAUGUAACAUGCUCAAACCUCAAAGAGAUUUGACUAGAUAAGGAUGCUGCUUCCUUUUGCAUUGCAUGGGCUGAGGGCAGGGACACAGGGACUCACCAUAUGGCCUUGUACUCUCUUUGAUCUGGACGUUCUCCCAUCUUUUCACUUGAUUGUGAGAUUCUGUGCAGAGGAGACCAUGUUCAAGCCCUCAUAGUGCCUGGUAUAUAGCUGAUGCUCAACAAAUAUUUGUUAACAUCACAUUUAAUGUUUCUGUUAUAUUCUUCAAUAAACUGUCCCCAAAUGUUUUCAAUUUAUGAAUGACAUACCUUAGGCAUCUGAGAUUCAGCUAUGGUUCUCCUAUGGAGGAAUUACAGAGUUUGCUGAUGAAAGUAAGUCUCUGUACUAAGAUGUUUUACUCUAGGUAUAGAGUUACUUGACUAUUUUUAGGUUGCUUACUCAUCCUGUUAUUUUAAAGAAGGGAAAAAAAAAAAACUGACACAAAUAAUACAAUUGUCUAACAGGGAUAGAUUUGAGAAAAAAUAUACUUUUCAAAAGUAGAGAAAGAUUGGAUGAUUCAUUUAACUUUUCCCCUCAACAUCCUUUUCUACACAUGUUAAAAAUUAUACUAGCUUAAAAAAUGAAAUAUUUUAAAAGCCUCCCCACCCACAAAAAAAGGGAUAAGACUUUAGCCCUCAGAGUCACAGGAUUUCAUUGCUUUCUACAUAAACACUGCUUGAAUUUCACAAUCUUCUACUCUGAGGUGCUGCUAUUAACAAAAUACAAAAUUAGGCCAAGAAAAGUGAGUUUUGCAGCCUAGGAAAAUUGGGGGAGGUCGGUGCGGCUGUAGAGAUAAACUUCUCAUCUGUGCCUGCUUUACAUCCAGGUCUAUUUCUUAUCUUGUUCAGUGCUCACUGGGUUGUUGCAAAGCAAGAGCUCACUGUUACACAUCAAAAUCCAACAGGGAAAAAGCCACCAGAUAAAAUAAUACUUCUAAAGAUAGGGCCGGUGAAUUAUUUUCCUUCUCUGUUUUCUCUCUUUACUUCCUAUAGAACUGCUCUCAGAGAAGAUUAUGAUAAUGACAUAGUUAAAAGUCCAAGGUUUUAAUAAAAUUCCUAGGUUUUCAUUUACCCUCUUUAUUCAAAACUUAGCAGUAGACUUUCCCCGUCCAUUUAUCAGAAAUCUUUGAAUUCUCCAAAGUUAAAAUCAUGGAGCUUAUACUAUCAUAGGACAGUAUUUCCCAAUCAUUCUCUUGCAGACAGUGUCAAAGGUGAGGACGAUUGGAACCUGUCCCCAUGACAAUCAGCUGGGAGCCUCAGAGAGAGUCCUCACUGUAGUAAAAUCCAAUGUUUCAAAAACAGAAGUGGAAACAGUUCUAUUGAAGCACUGCCAGCUUCACCCUUGCACACAAGCUUUGAUGUUGUCAGGGACAUGAUACAUGCUCCACCUUUGAGCCCUGGUUAAUGCUACUAUACUAGGUUCCUCGAUCACCCAAGAAAUUUCCUCCCAAACCAGAAUCUGGAACCAUCAGUUGAUAGUCAGGGGUCUCCAAACAGAACGCUAAGGGGACCUCUUAUCCUUGUGUCAGCAGGACAGAAGCAGUCAUCUGCCUUUGGGACGUCAUGGGGAGUUGGAGGUAUGGAUCUAUAGCAGCAACAGCAGUGAGGAGGAGAGGUAUAAGACAGCUUUCUCAGCAGAAAGAUCCUAAUAAAAAUCCAAGACCAAGGAAUUCUGUUGAUGUUGUUUAGAAGUGUUCAUAGGACCAUUGCCUUUCUGACAUAUAAUCACUGAUAUAAAGAAAGCUGAGCACUGAAGAAUUGAUGCUUUUGAACUGUGGUGUUGGAGAAGACUCUUGAGAGUCCCUUGGACUGCAAAGAGAUCCAACCAGUCAAUCCUAAAGGAAAUCAGUCCUGAAUAUUCAUUGGAAGGACUGAUGCUGAAGCUGAAACUCCAAUCCUUUGGCCACCUGAUGUAAAGAACUGACUCAUUGGAAAAGACCCUGAUGCUGCGAAAGAUUGAAGGCGGGAGGAGAAGGGGAUGACAGAGAAUGAGAAGGUUGGAUGAUAUCACCAACAUGAUGGACAAGAGUCUGAGCAAGCUCCAGGAGUUGGUGAUGGACAGGGAAGCCUCGCCUGCUGCAGUCCACGGGGUUGCAAAGAGUCAGACACAACUGAGUAACUGAACUGAACUGAUAAACCCACCAACUCUGUCAAAUGUUUCACUUGUGCCAAACAAA